GGCUCAGAUGAAACGCUGGCGGCAUGCCUUACACAUGCAAGUCGAACGGCAGCACGGGAGCAAUCCUGGUGGCGAGUGGCGAACGGGUGAGUAAUACAUCGGAACGUGCCCAGUAGUGGGGGAUAGCUCGGCGAAAGCCGGAUUAAUACCGCAUACGACCUACGGGUGAAAGCGGGGGACCGCAAGGCCUCGCGCUAUUGGAGCGGCCGAUGUCAGAUUAGCUAGUUGGUGGGGUAAAGGCCUACCAAGGCAACGAUCUGUAGCUGGUCUGAGAGGACGACCAGCCACACUGGGACUGAGACACGGCCCAGACUCCUACGGGAGGCAGCAGUGGGGAAUUUUGGACAAUGGGGGCAACCCUGAUCCAGCCAUGCCGCGUGCGGGAAGAAGGCCUUCGGGUUGUAAACCGCUUUUGUCAGGGAAGAAACGCGCUGAGCUAAUACCUCGGCGUAAUGACGGUACCUGAAGAAUAAGCACCGGCUAACUACGUGCCAGCAGCCGCGGUAAUACGUAGGGUGCAAGCGUUAAUCGGAAUUACUGGGCGUAAAGCGUGCGCAGGCGGCUUUGCAAGACAGAUGUGAAAUCCCCGGGCUCAACCUGGGAACCGCAUUUGUGACUGCAUGGCUAGAGUGCGGCAGAGGGGGAUGGAAUUCCGCGUGUAGCAGUGAAAUGCGUAGAUAUGCGGAGGAACACCGAUGGCGAAGGCAAUCCCCUGGGCCUGCACUGACGCUCAUGCACGAAAGCGUGGGGAGCAAACAGGACUAGAUACCCUGGUAGUCCACGCCCUAAACGAUGUCAACUGGUUGUUGGACGGCUUGCUGUUCAGUAACGAAGCUAACGCGUGAAGUUGACCGCCUGGGGAGUACGG
Molecule: ribosomal RNA, 868 nt
Filed under: uncultured bacterium
Lineage: Bacteria
Description: bacterial SSU rRNA
Rfam family: Bacterial small subunit ribosomal RNA
Source: RNAcentral